AUGGGGUGCAUAUGGGGUGCAUAUGGGGUGGGGGGCCUUAUGGGGUGCUGCAUUGCAUUGUGCUGCAUUGUGCUGUGCUGCAUUGUGUGGUGCUGCAUUGUGCUGCACUGCAUGGUGCUGCACUGUGUGGUGCUGCACUGCAUGGUGCUGCAUUGCAUUGUGUUGCAUGGUGCUGCAUUGUGCUGUGCUGCACUGCGUGGUGCUGCAUUGCAUUGUGCUGCAUGGUGCUGCGUUGCGUGGUGCUGCACUGCAUGGUGCUGCACCGUGUUGAGCCGCAUUGAGCUGCGCUGCAGGGUGCUGCAGGGUGCUGCACUGUGCUGCAUUGUGCGCUGCACUGUGCCGUGCUGCGUUGCAUCGUGCUGCAUUGCACUGUGCUGCACUGUGCUGCAUUGUGCAGCACUGCAUUGCACGGCACUGUGUUGUGCUGCAUUGCAUUGUGCUGCAUUGUGCUGCACUGUGCUGCACUGUGCUGCAUUGUGCAGCACUGCAUUGCACGGCACUGCGUUGUGCUGCAUUGCAUUGUGCUGCAUUGUGCUUCGUUGCACUGUGCUGCACUGGAUUGUGCUGCAUUGCACUGCGCUGUGUUGUGCUGCAUUGCGUGGCGCUGCAUUGCACUGUGCUGCACUGCGUGUUUCUGCACGGUGCUGCAUUGCAUGGUGCUGCAUUGCAUCGUCCUGCACUGCAUGGUGCUGCGUGGUGCUGCAUUGCCUGGUGCUGCAUUACAUUUUGCUGCAUUGCCUGGUGCUACUCUGCACGGUGCUGCGCUGCGUGGCGCUGCAUGGUGCUUUGUUGCAACCCCAGGUGCAUUUGAUGCAUUUUACUGCCCAGCUUUUGUGUUGUGUUGCUUUGCAAAGCAGCGUGCUGUGGAGUGCGGGCACCUUGCAGCAGCAUCGUGCACUGGUGUUGUGCACCAGCACCAUGCACCAGCACUGUUGCACCGACAUCAUGCAGCAAAACCAUGCACCAGCACCAUGCACGCCUGCAGUAGCACCAACAGCAUGCACACCAUGCAGCAGCACCAUGCAGCACCAUGCAGCAGCACCAUGCACACCAUGCAGCAACACCAUGCACACCUUGCAGCAGCACCGUGCACCAACGUUUUGCAGCUGCACCAUCCAGGAGCGCCAUGCACACCAUGCACACAGCAGCACCAUGCACCAGCAUUUUGCACCAGCACCAUGCAUGCCUUGCAGCAGCACGCAGCACCAUGCACACCAUGCACCUGCACCACUCAGCAGCACCAUGCACACCAUGCUCAACACCAUGCAGCAGCACUGUGCACCAACAUUUUGCACCAUGCACACCGUGCACCAGCACCAUGCACCCCAUGCACCAGCACACAACAGCACCGUGCACCAACAUUGUGCACCAGCACCAUGCAUGCAACCAAUUCUGCACCAGCACCAUGCACACCUUGCAGCAGCACACAGCAGCACCAUGCACCAGCAUUUUGCACCAGCACCAUGCACACCUUGCAGCAGCAACAUGCACACCUUGCAGCAGCAUGCAGCAGCACAGUGCACCAGCAUUUUGCACCAGCACCAUGCACACCUUGCAGCAGCACACAGCAGCACCAUGCACCACCAUUUUGCACCAGCACCAUGCAGGAGCACCAUGCACACCAUGCACCAUGCACACAGCAGCACCGUGUACCAGCAUUUUGCACCAUGCACACCUUGCAGCAGCACCAUGCACACCAUGCACGCCUUGCAGCAGCACACAGCAGCAGCAUGCAACCAAUUCUGCACCAGCACCAUGCACACCUUGCACCAGCACCGUGCACACCUUGCACCAGCACCAUGCACCACCAUUUUGUACCAGCACCAUGCACAACUUGCACCAGCACCGUGCACCACCGUUUUGCACCAGCAACAUGCACACCUUGCAGCAGCACGCAGCAGCACCGUGCACCAGCAUUUUGCACCAGCACCACGCACACCUUGCACCAGCACCAUGCACCACCAUUUUGCACCAGCACCAAUCCUGCAGCCACCAACCCAGGGUUGCAAAGCAAAUGGGUCAAACCCCCCCCAAAAAAAAAAGAAAGGACAAACCCCAAUCAGAGCCCUGGGGGGGGAGGGAGAGGGGGGGAGAGCAUUCAUCCACCCUCUAAUUAAUUGCAGGGUGUUAAUUAAGGCACGGAUCGAUAGGAUGGNNNNNNNNNNNNNNNNNNNNNNNNNNNNNNNNNNNNNNNNNNNNNNNNNNNNNNNNNNNNNNNNNNNNNNNNNNNNNNNNNNNNNNNNNNNNAAUGGGAUAAUGGGAUAA
Molecule: long non-coding RNA, 2265 nt
Filed under: Phasianus colchicus (ring-necked pheasant)
Lineage: Eukaryota; Metazoa; Chordata; Aves; Galliformes; Phasianidae
Description: lncRNA (ENSPCLG00000019003.1)
Source: RNAcentral